RNAcentral lists this long non-coding RNA (2826 nucleotides) under Apis dorsata (giant honeybee). RNAcentral describes it as "uncharacterized LOC102672692, transcript variant X1". The record is from RNAcentral. Lineage: Eukaryota; Metazoa; Arthropoda; Insecta; Hymenoptera; Apidae.
AUUUGAUAAAGAGGUAUAUUAAAUAACAAUUAAUUAAAAAUGAAUUAAUACAAACAACUUCCUUACUAUUCAAACACAAUCCCCUGAAAAAGAUCAUCGUGCUGACAGAGGGGAGGCGAGUGUACAUACGGCUACAUUCACCGAUUUCAUGGUAAAUCGAGCGUUUCUUAGCCAUAGGAUCUGGUGUGCCCUUACGCAAACCUAUUGUACACGAGUGCCUCCUGUGGUGUUACGGUAGAAUGAGAACACAACGCGGAUUGGUCCGCAGGUCGUCCUAUCUUCAAAAUAGCAUUACCAGCGAUCAUAAUGGCUCAACCGGUGUGUCGUUAAUGUGGUAGUAUAUAAGGAAUUUGUGCUAUGCAGCAAACAAGAAAAGAAACGAAUAAACUAGCAAACGUUUCUCUAUCCAUUAAGACGAUAUAUGACAAAAGAGAUUAUAUACGUCUAUAUUUUUCGACAACAAGAAACAAGAAGAUUUGCUCAAGGAGGUGCUCAGUGGAUGCCUGUUUUCAAGUUGGAAAUUUAUUUUAAUUUUGCAUGUUAUACAUCACAGGAAGAUAUUUUACGAACUGUGAAUUAUCCCGCGAAUAUUUUUUCAACAAAGCGACGAACAUUAAUACGAAACAGCAAUAAUCAACGAUGUAAAUUUAUUAUGUAUUAAUGUCUCGAUGUGAAAAUAAAAAUAAUCGAAACGAGGUUAGCGCAAAUAAGCUUCUUGACUCGAGACGGUUAUACUAUCGAAAAGUGCUACACAGAUAAGGGUCUCGAUAGGGUGGUACAGGCGAUGACGGUGAUUUAAUAUUUUUCUUGUUAUGAGUAUAAGCUCACUAGUUUAUUCUGAAAACAGUAACCAAGCACUGCUUCGUGUCCUCGUGCAAAACCACCUGCUCGAAUGAACAACUAUCGCGAGUAUCGUCGUCACAAUCUAGAUCUUACUUAUUUACUCAUUUAUUUACUUGUUAAAUUUUUUUCAAUUUUUCUAUUAUUUUUAAUAUUUAGUAAUUGAUAUUUUGUACGGUGAAAAGUUAAACGAUCUUUUUAACAAUUCUGUUUACAUAUUACUUAUUUUAUACAUCAUUUUUCUCAUAUCAUUAAUCGAAAAUGAUGUUCAUAUAUGGAUUCAAAGCAAUUUAUAUAAAUUUUAUGUUACUGUGAUAAAAUAAAAUUUUUAGGGUACAAUCAUGAAAAUAACAUUUCGUUUUAUACGAAUUCCAGACAUGGUACAUUUGUAUUUAGUCCACAAACAUGACAGAGCAACAGAGAAAAAGAAAAAGCAAGUUCUAUGCAUUUACGUGAUUAUUUCGAGAAGUUAAGUCGCCGAGACGCGUCCGCGUCACUGAUGGAUCUCACUAACGAGCACAACUGAUGAUUGACAAAAUAUUCUCAGUAUGAGACCAAAUUUAAAGUUAAGACGAAAAAUUUUAAGAAAUGGACAAUAGAAAAAAGAAGUCAGCAUUCUUCGCGUUCGGAAGGUGUUGAAGUAGGUAUGCCAAGUUAAAUAUACGCGUAGGAUGCACAGGCAGGACAAAAAGCACUUCCUCUUGUCUGACGAGUAUACUUUGAAGACCGAACGUAGGCUUCAGUAAGCAGACAAAAUAAGAAUUUUUACUUCAUAGCGAGAAAGCAUUCUACUUUUUGAAUUAUUCUUUGUUCAUAUUAAUGUUGGAUCUUUUUUUACUUAUCCAUAUAUUUUCUUAUAAAUAUGCAAAUAUAUAUAGUAAAUAUGUUAUUAUAAAACUUUAUUAUUAAAAAAAUUAAUAUAUGAACGUACUCUUUAAUAGAAAGAAAUAUGAAAAUUUUUACAUUACGACAAUGGGACAGAAACAUUCUCAUGUUUGUGAGAUCAUGUACAAUCUUCUUGAAUGUAACCGUUUCUUGUUGAUACUGGCAAUGAGUUAUGUUGACACAACGCAACCUGUUCUGGCUCCUCGUUGAAUAUUAUGAACAUAUUAUGACAGAUAUGCCAUCCGAAGAUCAAGAAAAUUAGAUAGCACGUGCUAUUUUGAAGUAAUAGUCGUUCUAUGGUUCAUGAAGCGAGCGACAAGCAAUUAUAAAAAGAUCAAUUUUGCGCAGAAUUAGAUAAUGGAUUUGACGAAGUCUAUGUAAGUGUGAUUCGCCGGUUUCUCUAACUGUGACGCUUGUUUAAAUCUCAAUUCCAACGUUUCAUGCACUCGCUGAGGGCCAAGAGUCUCCACUAAUAACUCGGAUCAAUGUGAAUCUCCGUGUCGAUCAAAAUCAAAGAUCUUCUUUGGAAAAGUCAAUACGUCAACAAACAAGGCGUCAGUUGAAUUUCGUCUGAACUUUGCACAAACACCGGAAAAUCCCAAUGUUAACUGAUAUCUCAGGUUAUUAAGGAGAUUAAUGAAAUUUAUGAAGCCAGAGACGCAAAACAAAAAGUCGAGACGGUUUUUUGUGGAAAUAUUCAGCAAUCUUUUGCAACGGAUUUGAGCUGUGGCCAAUAUUAGAGUAAUAAAAAAGCUCAUCGGACUACUGUGGCUUGUUUCAAAGCGACGGUAAUGGGGCUUGAAAGCUGCCGGCUAGGAAAAGGAAGUAGAAGGAGAAAGGGGUGACGGUAAGAGGAAAAAAUCGGAGAAGAGACGAGAGACAUUCGUCUUCGAAGGCGUUCAACCAUUUGAUAGCGGAACCACCCAGCGUUAACAUUGCUUGCUUCUUUCAGUAAAAGAAAUCGACUGCAACAGUCGGAAACCUUUAUUGAAAUGACAAUCGUAAAAAUUUGAAUUUUUAUGGAUUGAAGGAAUGUCACCUAUGCAAAUAAACAUUGCAUGAUACAUUAAAUGAAAUAUUUUUUGAAAAUACAAUGAAAGA